Molecule: ribosomal RNA, 443 nt
Filed under: uncultured bacterium
Lineage: Bacteria
Description: partial 16S ribosomal RNA
Rfam family: Bacterial small subunit ribosomal RNA
Source: RNAcentral
CCUACGGGAGGCAGCAGUGGGGAAUAUUGGGCAAUGGGCGCAAGCCUGACCCAGCAACGCCGCGUGAAGGAAGAAGGCUUUCGGCUUGUAAACUUCUUUUGUCAGGGACGAAGCAAGUGACGGUACCUGACGAAUAAGCCACGGCUAACUACGUGCCAGCAGCCGCGGUAAUACGUAGGUGGCAAGCGUUAUCCGGAUUUACUGGGUGUAAAGGGCGUGUAGGCGGGACUGUAAGUCAGAUGUGAAAACCAUGGGCUUAACCUGUGGCUUGCAUUUGAAACUAUAGUUCUUGAGUACUGGUGAGGCAGACGGAAUUCCUAGUGUAGCGGUGAAAUGCGUAGAUAUUAGGAGGAACACCAGUGGCGAAGGCGGUCUGCUGGACAGCAACUGACGCUGAGGCGCGAAAGCGUGGGGAGCAAACAGGAUUAGAUACCCCAGUAGUC